This 1298-nucleotide ribosomal RNA is filed under the name metagenome. Its description in RNAcentral is "bacterial SSU rRNA". It matches the Rfam family "Bacterial small subunit ribosomal RNA", at positions 8 to 1269 of the family's 1533-position model. The record is from RNAcentral.
AGAGUUUGAUUCUGGCUCAGAACGAACGCUGGCAGCGUGGAUUAGGCAUGCAAGUCGAACGAGAAUCUGUCCCGCCGCAAGGCGGGAUGGAGGAGAGUGGCGAAAGGGUGAGGAACGCGUGGGCAAUCUACCUUUGGGCUGGGGAUAACUCCGCGAAAGCGGGGCUAAUACCGAAUAUGAUGGUGGCGCUACGGCGCUGUUAAUCAAAGAUGGGGAACCGCAAGGUCCUGUCGCCUUAAGAGGAGCCCGCGUCCUAUCAGCUUGUUGGUGAGGUAACGGCUCACCAAGGCUUACGGGUAGCUGGUCUGAGAGGAUGGUCAGCCACACUGGGACUGAGACACUGCCCAGACUCCUACGGGAGGCUGCAGUCGAGGAUCAUUCGCAAUGGGCGAAAGCCUGACGAUGCGACGCUGCGUGGAGGAUGAAGGCCUUCGGGUUGUAAACUCCUGUCAUUCGGGAACAAUAUCCGGAGGGUUAAUACCCCUUCGGCGAGAUAGUACCGGAAGAGGAAGCCACGGCUAACUCUGUGCCAGCAGCCGCGGUAAUACAGAGGUGGCGAGCGUUGUUCGGAUUUACUGGGCGUAAAGGGCGCGUAGGCGGUUUCGUGUGUCGGAUGUGAAAUCUCACUGCUUAACGGUGAAACUGCAUUCGAAACUGCGGAACUAGAGUACAGAAGAGGAGAGCGGAAUUCUCGGUGUAGCAGUGAAAUGCGUUGAUAUCGAGAGGAACACCGGUGGCGAAGGCGGCUCUCUGGAAUGUUACUGACGCUGAGGCACGAAAGCUGGGGGAGCAAACAGGAUUAGAUACCCUGGUAGUCCCAGCCUUAAACGGUGCACACUUGGUGUGGGGAGAUUUGACCCUCUCCGUGCCGGAGCUAACGCAUUAAGUGUGCCGCCUGGGGAGUACGGUCGCAAGAUUAAAACUCAAAGAAAUUGACGGGGGCCCGCACAAGCGGAGGAGCAUGUGGCUUAAUUCGAUGCAACGCGAAGAACCUUACCAGGGCUUGACAUGCAACUGCACGUCCUGUGAAAGCAGGAUUCCUUCGAGGGUGUUGCACAGGUGCUGCAUGGCUGUCGUCAGUUCGUGCCGUGAGGUGUUGGGUUAAGUCCCGCAACGAACGCAACCCCUGUAUUUAGUUGCCACUCCCGAUGAUGAGUCGGGAAGCACUCUAAAUAGACUGCCCGUGAUAAGCGGGAGGAAGGUGGGGAUGACGUCAAGUCAGUAUGGCCUUUAUGCCCUGGGCUGCACACGUGCUACAAUGGCCGGUACAGAGAGAUGCUAAGCCGCGAGGUAGAGCC